AAUUUCGAGAUAAAUCUGUAAACAGAUUACCAUUAUUUCAAUAUCGCGCAAUUUUGGACCAAGUUGUACAAACAUCGAUCUUGUGGCACUUUUAAUUAAUUUUAUUUUCAGAAAGGUGUAACUGCGCCCAGUGUUUUGCACGUUUUGGCGACAAAUGUUUAAUUUGUUCUACACGUGCUGCUUGCUUGACAUGACGAACUGUGUGAAGGGGACAGCGAAAAUUUUGGUGUGAUUAGAGA
RNAcentral lists this long non-coding RNA (239 nucleotides) under Brachypodium distachyon (stiff brome). Its description in RNAcentral is "long non-coding RNA (BDIS_LNC002232)". The record is from RNAcentral. Lineage: Eukaryota; Viridiplantae; Streptophyta; Magnoliopsida; Poales; Poaceae.